This 1055-nucleotide unclassified non-coding RNA is filed under the name Hevea brasiliensis (rubber tree). Lineage: Eukaryota; Viridiplantae; Streptophyta; Magnoliopsida; Malpighiales; Euphorbiaceae. The record is from RNAcentral.
CUCGAUGAACAAUUGGCAAAAGGUAUAAAUGUGUGGACAUAUAAUUAUAUAUUAAUUAAAAAAUUAAGCUAAUUAAGCAAAAACUAAGCAGUCACUAGUCUUAUCAUUGCUUAAUUUUCCAUCACUUGUAUUACCCACGAAACCAAUCUCCAAAUUCUCACAAUAAACUCUUACAUUGAUGUGCCUUGCCCACCAUGUACCUGACUUAAAGGUAGUCCAAAGCGCAACCCUCAGGUUAAAACUCAGCUUCCGGUUGCUGCUGUUCCUAUCCUCUGUCAUCCUCUCCACCACCCGGCUCCCCACACCGGUCUGGCUGUGAUCUGAGUUAUCGGAUGCUAACUUCGCUUGCAUCACAGUGUCUUGUUUGGUUUCCAAUUGAAAGGGAUUGGCAAAAGACUUGGCAAGUAGGUUAUCUUCGUAGUACACGUUUACCUCUACCUGAUCAAAAUAUGCUUUGAGUUUGGUGUUAGGGUUCUUGACUGUGAUGUUAGCAUCCCAGUUAGCUUCGAAGCUAGAAGAGCUGGCGUUGAAGUUGGACACGGUGAAGGUGUCAACGUGGAAAAUGGGAAUUGCUGGUCGCAAGAUUAGCCAGAUGAUGAUGCUAGAUAUGCAAAUAAAGAUAAUAAAGAAAACUAAGCCGCCAACGAUCCCGCGGACGAAACCGGACGCUCUGUAUUCUGGUUGUGGCUGAUACAUAUCAGGGUUGUAAUAGCCGGCCGGCGGUGCUUGUGCAUAUAGGUAAUGACUGUUGUAUCCAUUGUUAUAGCCAGGAGGAGGAUAACCAGAUUGCCCCAGUGGAUAGCCCAUGGGAUGGUAACCCAUCGUCGGAGGAUAACCCGUUGCCGGAGAAUUUUCGGCUGGAGAAUGGUCGUUGCCAUCGGAGGAGGCUUGGCCGGAUUCUUUCUUGAGUUGGUGAUUUUGAUCAGAUUGAGAAGCAGCCAUUGGUUGAUUGAUGUAGUGAUUAUCUCUCUCAAUGACCCCGAGAGAGGGAGAAAGAGGUGUUUUGGGAUGGAAGCAAAAGGAAGAUAGAGAGAAGUGAAGGAAAAAGAUGGGCA